This 299-nucleotide signal recognition particle RNA is filed under the name Saimiri boliviensis boliviensis (Bolivian squirrel monkey). Its description in RNAcentral is "Metazoan signal recognition particle RNA (ENSSBOG00000008202.1)". It matches the Rfam family "Metazoan signal recognition particle RNA". From Rfam's summary of the family: The signal recognition particle (SRP) is a universally conserved ribonucleoprotein. It is involved in the co-translational targeting of proteins to membranes. The record is from RNAcentral. Lineage: Eukaryota; Metazoa; Chordata; Mammalia; Primates; Cebidae.
GCCAGGCACGGUGGCGUGUGCCUAUAGUCCCAGCUACUCGGUAGGCUGAGGUAGGAGGAUCGCUUGAGCCCAGGAGUUCUGGGCUGUAGUGCAUUAUGCCGAUCGGGUGUCCGCACUAAGUUCGGCAUCAAGAUGGUGAACUCCCGGGAGCCGGGAACCACCAGGUUGCCUAAGGAGGGGUGAACCGGCCCAGGUCGGAAAUGGAGCAGGUCAAAACUCCUGUACUGAUUAGUAGUGGGAUCGCGCCUGUGAAUAGUCACUGCACUCCAGCCUGGGCAACAUAGCGAGACCCUGUCUCU